RNAcentral lists this ribosomal RNA (453 nucleotides) under uncultured Porphyromonadaceae bacterium. Its description in RNAcentral is "bacterial SSU rRNA". It matches the Rfam family "Bacterial small subunit ribosomal RNA", at positions 341 to 792 of the family's 1533-position model. The record is from RNAcentral. Lineage: Bacteria; Pseudomonadati; Bacteroidota; Bacteroidia; Bacteroidales; Porphyromonadaceae.
ACGGAAGGCAGCAGUGAGGAAUAUUGGUCAAUGGGCGAGAGCCUGAACCAGCCAAGUCGCGUGAAGGAUGAAGGUUCUAUGGAUUGUAAACUUCUUUUGUUCGAGGGUAAAGUGAGGGAUGCGUCCCUUAUUGCAAGUAUCGAACGAAUAAGCAUCGGCUAACUCCGUGCCAGCAGCCGCGGUAAUACGGAGGAUGCGAGCGUUAUCCGGAUUUAUUGGGUUUAAAGGGUGCGUAGGCGGGAUGUUAAGUCAGCGGUGAAAGCGUGUAGCUAAACUAUACCAAGCCGUUGAAACUGGCGUUCUUGAGUGUAAACGAGGUAGGCGGAAUGUGACGUGUAGCGGUGAAAUGCUUAGAUAUGUCACAGAACCCCGAUUGCGAAGGCAGCUUACCAGCAUACAACUGACGCUGAGGCACGAAAGUGCGGGGAUCAAACAGGAUUAGAUACCCUGGUA